This 92-nucleotide small nucleolar RNA is filed under the name Danio rerio (zebrafish). RNAcentral's name for it is "Small nucleolar RNA SNORD94 (ENSDARG00000085781.2)". The record is from RNAcentral. Lineage: Eukaryota; Metazoa; Chordata; Actinopteri; Cypriniformes; Danionidae.
AGGGCAGUGCUGAUUGGCGCAGGGGUGACGGAGCACAGAUGCAUGCUGGGAAGUGUGGUUUUCUGCAGAACUCUACUGUUCUACCUCGUCCU